GAUGAACGCUGGCGGCGUGCCUAAUACAUGCAAGUCGAGCGAACAGACGAGGAGCUUGCUCCUCUGACGUUAGCGGCGGACGGGUGAGUAACACGUGGAUAACCUACCUAUAAGACUGGGAUAACUUCGGGAAACCGGAGCUAAUACCGGAUAAUAUAUUGAACCGCAUGGAUCAAUAGUGAAAGACGGUUUUGCUGUCACUUAUAGAUGGAUCCGCGCCGCAUUAGCUAGUUGGUAAGGUAACGGCUUACCAAGGCAACGAUGCGUAGCCGACCUGAGAGGGUGAUCGGCCACACUGGAACUGAGACACGGUCCAGACUCCUACGGGAGGCAGCAGUAGGGAAUCUUGCGCAAUGGGCGAAAGCCUGACGGAGCAACGCCGCGUGAGUGAUGAAGGUCUUCGGAUUGUAAAACUCUGUUAUUAGGGAAGAACAAAUGUGUAAGUAACUAUGGACGUCUUGACGGUACCUAAUCAGAAAGCAACGGCUAACUACGUG
RNAcentral lists this ribosomal RNA (497 nucleotides) under uncultured bacterium. RNAcentral's name for it is "partial 16S ribosomal RNA". It matches the Rfam family "Bacterial small subunit ribosomal RNA", at positions 28 to 507 of the family's 1533-position model. The record is from RNAcentral.